GAUGAACGCUGGCGGCGUGCCUAAUACAUGCAAGUCGAGCGAACGGACGAGAAGCUUGCUUCUCUGAUGUUAGCGGCGGACGGGUGAGUAACACGUGGAUAACCUACCUAUAAGACUGGGAUAACUUCGGGAAACCGGAGCUAAUACCGGAUAAUAUUUUGAACCGCAUGGUUCAAAAGUGAAAGACGGUCUUGCUGUCACUUAUAGAUGGAUCCGCGCUGCAUUAGCUAGUUGGUAAGGUAACGGCUUACAAAGGCAACGAUGCAUAGCCGACCUGAGAGGGUGAACGGCCACGCUGGAACUGAGACACGAGCCAGACUCCUACGGGAGGCAGCAGUAGGGAAUCUUCCGAAAUGGGCGAAAGCCUGACGGAGCAACGCCGCGUGAGUGAUGAAGGUCUUCGGAUCGUAAAACUCUGUUAGUAGGGAAGAACAUAUGUGUAAGUAACUGUGCACAUCUUGACGGUACCUAAUCAGAAAGCAACGGCUAACUACGUG
Molecule: ribosomal RNA, 497 nt
Filed under: uncultured bacterium
Lineage: Bacteria
Description: partial 16S ribosomal RNA
Rfam family: Bacterial small subunit ribosomal RNA
Source: RNAcentral